CGAGGGUGCAAGCGUUAAUCGGAAUUACUGGGCGUAAAGCGAGUGUAGGCGGCUUCGUAAGUCGGAUGUGAAAGCCCUGGGCUUAACCUGGGAAUGGCAUUCGAAACUGCGCGGCUAGAGUCUGAUAGAGGGAAGUGGAAUUCCAGGUGUAGCGGUGAAAUGCGUAGAGAUCUGGAGGAACACCAGUGGCGAAGGCGGCUUCCUGGAUCAAGACUGACGCUGAGGCUCGAAAGCGUGGGGAGCAAACAGGAUUAGAUACCCGAGUAGUCC
RNAcentral lists this ribosomal RNA (270 nucleotides) under uncultured archaeon. RNAcentral's name for it is "partial 16S ribosomal RNA". It matches the Rfam family "Bacterial small subunit ribosomal RNA", at positions 527 to 796 of the family's 1533-position model. The record is from RNAcentral.